RNAcentral lists this transfer RNA (75 nucleotides) under Tissierellia bacterium. RNAcentral's name for it is "tRNA-Gly". It matches the Rfam family "tRNA". Rfam says of the family: Transfer RNA (tRNA) molecules are approximately 80 nucleotides in length. Their secondary structure includes four short double-helical elements and three loops (D, anti-codon, and T loops). Lineage: Bacteria; Bacillati; Bacillota; Tissierellia. The record is from RNAcentral.
GCGGAAAUGGCUCAGAGGUAGAGCAUCGCCUUGCCAAGGCGAGGGUCGCGGGUUCGAAUCCCGUUUUCCGCUCCA